Molecule: non-coding RNA, 1633 nt
Organism: Microcebus murinus (gray mouse lemur)
Lineage: Eukaryota; Metazoa; Chordata; Mammalia; Primates; Cheirogaleidae
Source: RefSeq, a predicted model, not a curated record
CCCCUGCGCGUCUCUCCGAGUGAGUUAGACUAGGCUGGGCUACACCAGCCUCCGCCCCACCUUCCCCUUCUGCUCCUGCAGCAGAGGCAGCGGCCAUGUGUGUUGUGCUGGAUGCCUCCCUGGUCCCUCCUGUGCUCCUGCAUGGCCUGCACCGACGGCCCUCUGCUCUGUGGGCCCGGGUGGGCUCAGCCAGUGGACAGUGGUGGCAGGAAGCCCAGAAGAAGGACAGAACAAAACCAGGGGGUUUGUUUCCCGGCUCCCUGUCUGAAGAGUUGCCACAGGCUGGCUGUCCCUUGACCAAGGACCAUGGCUCCUACCAACUGCCCCCUUUCCAGAGCCAGCCACACCCGCUGCAAUCCGAUCACCUCUCCCUCCUCUCACCUCCUCUGGCCCAAGGCUGGUAACAGCCCCAGCUCUGCUAGCGUGUGGUCCUGCACCAGCCCCGGUGGGCUCCUAAGCCCCUCCCACACUUCUGCUUCACUGCUGUGUACAGUUGUGCAGGCUGUGUCCUGCCCAAGACCACCUUGUUAAGGAGGCACAGAGGCUCCAAACCCACGCCCAACUUCUGCUCAGCAAAUAGCUGUACCCACCCAGAGGAAGAGAUGUCUUUCCUAAUGUGCAAAGAAGCACCGGGUAUAAAUCAUCGUGUUUAAUCCUCUUAACAGCCCUGAAAGAUUCCAAUUCUGAUACCAGGAUUGUCGUUCCUUGGCCAACCUCAUACUCCAGAAUCAGACGUGGAUUUUGUUUCUCGGCUCUGCUACUUGCUAACCGUGUGGCAUUGGUGAAGUCACACAAACUCUCUGAGCCUUGUGUGUAAAACGAAGAUAAGAACUCACUCGAUCACUCUGCGGAAGUGAUUAAAUGAGAUGAAGUACGUACACCCUUGGCAAGGUGCCCCGCAUGGGUAGUUACCGUGGCUCAGUGAAGGGAGAAAAACACGGUAGGAGGAAGAAGUCUGCCAAACCAUCCUCCAGAGCACCACCCACGUCCAGGUGUCUGUGCUGAAAUCAGUGCUGCUCACGAUGCUCCUCUGUGCACAACCUUCGAUGGCUCCCUACUGCUGAGGGAGGAAAGGUCAAGUUGCCACAUGCAGCAGUACGCAAACCUUUUCAGCACCAGGGGCCAGUUUCGUGGAAGAUAAUUUUUCCAUGGAUGGAGUUGGGGGGUGGCAGAGCUCUGAGGCCCGGUCCCUAACAGGCUGCAGACUGGCACCAGGUUGGGGACUGCAGACAUAGAGCAUAGAAGGCCCUUUGGAACCUUUGGACCUUAAAUCUAAUGUGUUUUUUUUUCUCCUGCCUAUUCUUUCUUUUACCAUGGCUCUGCUCUCAUCAAAACUCUGAUCCUCCUUUUAUUAUCUAUGAGUUUUCAUAUCUUAUAUCCACUUUAGAUUUACUGCUAUCUUUGUUUACAGUGAUAUUAACUCCAUCUCCCUUAAUAUUCCAGCGAGGAUCCAGCCCGUUUGUUAUUAGUUUAGAAUACAACAGUCCCCCCUAUCCUCAGGGAAUAUGUUCCAAGAUCCUCAGUACACGCCUGAAACUCUGAAUAGUAUCAAACCCUACAUACAUGAUGUUUUUUCCUAUACAUACAUACCUAUGAUAAUUUUUAAUUUAUAAAUUAGGCACAGUAAGAGGUU